This 69-nucleotide transfer RNA is filed under the name Hyloxalus yasuni. Its description in RNAcentral is "tRNA-Pro". It matches the Rfam family "tRNA". From Rfam's summary of the family: Transfer RNA (tRNA) molecules are approximately 80 nucleotides in length. Their secondary structure includes four short double-helical elements and three loops (D, anti-codon, and T loops). Lineage: Eukaryota; Metazoa; Chordata; Amphibia; Anura; Dendrobatidae. The record is from RNAcentral.
CAAGACAUAAUUUAAGAAGAAUAUUAGUUUUGGGGAUUAAUUGUGAGAGUUAGAUUCUCUCUGUCUUGA